GCAAGGCCCGGCACCAGGGCCUCCGGACGACGGUUCAGUACCCGGCACGCGACAAGACUGGCCAAA
This is a regulatory RNA element of Arthrobacter cupressi, 66 nucleotides long. The record is from Rfam. Lineage: Bacteria; Bacillati; Actinomycetota; Actinomycetes; Micrococcales; Micrococcaceae.